AUGGCUUCCCAAAUCCCGGAUUUCAGGUGUCAGGGACUGCAGGAUCCCCAAUCCCAGAUUUCAGGGACUGCAGGAUCCCCAGUUCUGGUUUUCAGGGAUUGCAGGAUCCCCAAUCCCGGAUUUCAGGGACCGCAGGAUCCCCAAUCCCGGAUUUCAGGGACCGCAGGAUCCCCAAUCCCGGAUUUCAGGGACCGCAGGAUCCCCAAUCCCGGAUUUCAGGGACCGCAGGAUCCCCAAUCCCGGAUUUCAGGGACUGCAGGAUCCCCAAUCCCAGAUUUCAGGGACACGCCGUUUGUGCUCAGAGCUGUCACCCUUUGCCUCCCCCUCGGCUCUGCAGCGCCGUUCCCAAGCCGGAUCUUUCCCGGGAUUUUUCCCGGGAUCUUUGGAGCGCUAGAAGAUGGCAGUGCUGCCACCCUGAGUGUUUCCAACCACUCCUCCU
This is a long non-coding RNA of Poecile atricapillus (Black-capped chickadee), 439 nucleotides long. RefSeq lists it as uncharacterized. NCBI's taxonomy places the organism in Eukaryota, Metazoa, Chordata, Aves, Passeriformes, Paridae. The transcript has 2 exons. The record is from RefSeq and is a predicted model, not a curated record.